ACGGGUGCGUAAUACGUAUGUAACCUACCUUAUCCAGGGGGAUAGCCUCUCGAAAGAGAGAUUAAGACCGCAUAACAUUAUUGAACAGCAUUGUUUAAUAAUCAAAUAUUUAUAGGGAUAAGAUGGGCAUGCGGGACAUUAGCUAGUUGGCGGGGUAACGGCCCACCAAGGCGACGAUGUCUAGGGGAUCUGAGAGGAUGACCCCCCACACUGGUACUGAGACACGGACCAGACUUCUACGGGAGGCAGCAGUAAGGAAUAUUGGUCAAUGGGCGGAAGCCUGAACCAGCCAUGCCGCGUGCAGGAAGACGGCCCUACGGGUUGUAAACUGCUUUUGCAGGGGAAUAAACCCAGUUACGUGUAACUGGCUGAAUGUACUCUGAGAAUAAGGAUCGGCUAACUCCGUGCCAGCAGCCGCGGUAAUACGGAGGAUCCAAGCGUUAUCCGGAUUUAUUGGGUUUAAAGGGUGCGUAGGCGGCCUAUUAAGUCAGGGGUGAAAGACGGUAGCUUAACUAUCGCAGUGCCUUUGAUACUGAUGGGCUUGAAUGAACUAGAGGUAGGCGGAAUGUGACAAGUAGCGGU
This 582-nucleotide ribosomal RNA is filed under the name Mucilaginibacter sp. TDB-143. RNAcentral describes it as "bacterial SSU rRNA". It matches the Rfam family "Bacterial small subunit ribosomal RNA", at positions 102 to 682 of the family's 1533-position model. The record is from RNAcentral. Lineage: Bacteria; Pseudomonadati; Bacteroidota; Sphingobacteriia; Sphingobacteriales; Sphingobacteriaceae.